RNAcentral lists this ribosomal RNA (494 nucleotides) under uncultured bacterium. RNAcentral describes it as "partial 16S ribosomal RNA". It matches the Rfam family "Bacterial small subunit ribosomal RNA", at positions 28 to 506 of the family's 1533-position model. The record is from RNAcentral.
GACGAACGCUGGCGGCGUGCCUAAUACAUGCAAGUAGAACGCUGAAGGAGGAGCUUGCUCUUCUGGAUGAGUUGCGAACGGGUGAGUAACGCGUAGGUAACCUGCCUGGUAGCGGGGGAUAACUAUUGGAAACGAUAGCUAAUACCGCAUAACAGUAGAUGUUGCAUGACAUUUGCUUAAAAGGUGCAAUUGCACCACUACCAGAUGGACCUGCGUUGUAUUAGCUAGUUGGUGGGGUAACGGCUCACCAAGGCGACGAUACAUAGCCGACCUGAGAGGGUGAUCGGCCACACUGGGACUGAGACACGGCCCAGACUCCUACGGGAGGCAGCAGUAGGGAAUCUUCGGCAAUGGACGGAAGUCUGACCGAGCAACGCCGCGUGAGUGAAGAAGGUUUUCGGAUCGUAAAGCUCUGUUGUAAGAGAAGAACGAGUGUGAGAGUGGAAAGUGCACACUGUGACGGUAUCUUACCAGAAAGGGACGGCUAACUACGU